Molecule: ribosomal RNA, 465 nt
Filed under: uncultured bacterium
Lineage: Bacteria
Description: partial 16S ribosomal RNA
Rfam family: Bacterial small subunit ribosomal RNA
Source: RNAcentral
CCUACGGGUGGCAGCAGUGGGGAAUAUUGCGCAAUGUGCGAAAGCCUGACGCAGCGACGCCGCGUGAGGGAUGAAGGUCUUCGGAUCGUAAACCUCUGUCAGCAGGGAAGAACGGUCACUGUGCUAAUCAGCAGUGAAUUGACGGUACCUGCAAAGGAAGCACCGGCUAACUCCGUGCCAGCAGCCGCGGUAUUACGGAGGGUGGGAGCGUUAAUCGGAAUUACUGGGCGUAAGGCGCUCGUAGGCGGUAUGUCAAGUCAAGGGGGAAAUCCCCGCGCUCAACGUGGGAACUGCCUUUGAAACUGGCAAACUGGAGUGUGUGAGAGGAUAGUGGAAUUCCAGGUGUAGGAGUGAAAUCCGUAGAUAUCUGGAGGAACAUCAGUGGCGAAGGCGACUAUCUGGCACAUAACUGACGCUGAGGAGCGAAAGCGUGGGUAGCAAACAGGAUUAGAUAGCCCUGUAGUC